Molecule: non-coding RNA, 148 nt
Filed under: Gorilla gorilla gorilla (western lowland gorilla)
Lineage: Eukaryota; Metazoa; Chordata; Mammalia; Primates; Hominidae
Source: Rfam by way of RNAcentral
GCUGGGCAUGGUGGCGCGCGCCUGUAAUCCCAGCUACUUGGGAGGCUAAGGCAGAAGAAUCACUUGAGCCCAGGAGGCGGAGCUUGCAGUGAGCUAAGAUCGUGCCACUGCACUCCAGCCUGGGCUACAGAGUGAGACUCCGUCUCAA